GCACAGCACCCUGAACAUGCCCAAUCUCUUCUGAUCUCAGGAGCUGAGCAGAGUCAGGCCUGGUUAGUACCUGGAUAGGAAAACCAGAAUCCUUUUUGAGAAAGACAGGAACU
This 113-nucleotide ribosomal RNA is filed under the name Dipodomys ordii (Ord's kangaroo rat). The record is from RNAcentral. Lineage: Eukaryota; Metazoa; Chordata; Mammalia; Rodentia; Heteromyidae.